This 71-nucleotide transfer RNA is filed under the name Candidatus Omnitrophota bacterium. RNAcentral's name for it is "Candidatus Omnitrophica bacterium (sediment metagenome) tRNA-Gln". It matches the Rfam family "tRNA". Rfam says of the family: Transfer RNA (tRNA) molecules are approximately 80 nucleotides in length. Their secondary structure includes four short double-helical elements and three loops (D, anti-codon, and T loops). Lineage: Bacteria; Pseudomonadati; Candidatus Omnitrophota. The record is from RNAcentral.
UGCCUGGUGGUGUAAUGGUAACACACGAGAAUUUGGAUCUCGUUUUCAAGGUUCGAAUCCUUGCCGGGCAG